GAUUUGAACUCUGGACCUUUGGAAGAGCAGUCGGGUGCUCUUACCCACUGAGCCAUCUCACCAGCCCCUACAAAUCACUUUUUAAAAAUGAAAACUGAUGGUAAACAAGAACAUUAUCAAGGAGGAGGAGGAGGGAAGAUCUUGACAUAGCAUAGGACAAAAUUGUAAAAACAGAAACAUAACAGGGUACUUUGUGAGAUCACAGAAAAGUCUGGGCAAAGUGUAAGAAGUUCAGAAUUCCUUCCGAGAUAAAGGACUGGCACCUGCUGAGGUCAGCUCGGUCUUUGAAAGUUUCAUUAUAGGACUGGAGAUACGUCUUAGUAGCAAGAGUGUUUGCCUAGGUAAGUUCAAGGUUCAAUCCCCAAUACUGAGUAGAGACAACCUUUCUAUAUGGCUUGGUGUGGUGGCGCUCACCAACAACUCCAGUACCCGUAAGGUAAAGGCAGAAAUAUGUAGGGGCCAACCUGGCUGACACACUGAAGCCCUAAAUCAAAGGAGACCUCUCCCCACUGUCUGUAAAUCUUGCUCCAACCAAGAGAUCAGAUUGGGUUUGAUGACUUCACAUCCUACAUAUAAGGAAACAAUGUAUUCAUGGAAGUGGUUCAUUCUGUAGGGAAAAAAAAGGAACAAUAAAUUUAGGACCCCCUUCUCCCUUUGUGUAUUUAUGUGUACAUAAUGUGUAUGUUGGUGUAUGUGUGCAUGUGGACAUGCGUCAGGUGCCUUCCUUGAUAACUCUCCACCUUUUAUACUGAGGCAGGGUUUAUUGCUGGACACGGAGCUCAUCACUGCAGCCACUGCAGCCGUCUACUGCAGCCCAGCUCUUGUGUCUCUGUCCUCUGAGUGCUUGGGAUUAUAAGCAGCCACUACGCCUGCCCACUUUUCACCUGAGUUUUGAGGAUCCAAACUACAAUUUUCAUGAUGGUAGAGGCAAGUGCUUUAUCACUGAGCCAUUUCCCUACCUCUGGUGUGUCCGAAGACAGCUACAGUUUACUCAUAUACAAUCAAUCAAUCAAUCAAUCUUUAAAAAACAAAACAAAAUUGGAGUUUAAAUCUUCAGACUCUAUGUAAAGCCAGGCACAGUAAUAUUCACAUACUCACAAAUUAUAGAAGUCACCUCAUACCCACAAUAUUCAUUUCUAAAGGUUAAGAAAUUCACCAUCAAGUGGAAACCAAAAACACUAUACAGAAAAUUCCAGAAAUAAUUUCUACGAUUUAUUUAUUUUUUUUAAAUGUAUUUAUUGUUCUUUGUGAGUUCAAGGCCAGACUCAUCUGCAUAGCAAGUUGCAGGCCAGCCAAGGCUACAUAGUAAGCCUCCAUCUCAAAAAGACCAAAAAACCCAAAAGAAGAAAACCAAAACAAACAAUAAAUGGGACCAAUAAGAUAGUUCAGCUCAGCUGAUAAAACCAAGCCUGAUGAGUUGAGCUUGACCCACUCAUACACUCCCCAUAUGGUAAGAGAGAACCAAUACUUGUAAGUUGUUCUCUGACCUCUACAAGUGUGUCAUGUGUCUGCACAUGUACACACAAUCACACAAAAAAUAAAAUUAUGAUAAAUAUGUAUAAAUUACUGAGAUCUGAAGUAUGGCUAGUCAGGAAUUAGUAUGUAGGUAUAGAUAUGAUUCUUAAAAUUUAUUUUAAAAAGUGUAUCGUUAUUUUUUAAAUUCAUUUAAAAAUUUUCUACUGUGUGUGUGUGUGUACCAUUUGCGCAGGUAUUUUCAGGGUUCAGAAGAGGUCCUUGGAUACCAAGCAGAGAUUUAGUUGGUUGUGAGCCUCCAUGUGCAUACUAGGAACUGACUUCGGGCCCUCUGGAAGAGCAGCAAGCUCUCUUACACAUCAGCUAUCUCUUCUGCCCUCUCAUUACUUAUUUUUAUUGUCUAUAUUUAUUAGUAUUUUGCAUGUAAUGAGUUCAAUUAAAAUGUAGUAAAAAUUAACAAAAACAUUUGCCUAAAAAUUGAAGAGGUCCUCUUGAAUCACUUAAGCACAUAUAUGUACAUACAGCCAAUAUAAAUAAAAAUAUACAUAAAAUAUGUAUCUAUAGUUUUUUAAUUUUGUUGCCAACGCUUGGAGGAGGAAUCCAGGGCUCAGCAGAGGCAGAGUACACAUCCCCACUCCUGAGCCUAAUCUCUCCUCCCAGCGCUCACCCGUGCAGGUGGCAGGUGCCAGGUCCAUGAUGUGGAAGAACACUCGGCACACCCUUUAACGUGUAUCCAACGGCGAAAAUAUCAUUUCUUUGUGAUUUAAAAAAAUAAGAAGAAAGGAAAAUGGUAAAGGUUUGGAGCCUUUGCAGACAAAACAAUUGCUGACGUGCGGCAAAGACCGGACUUUUACGACAGUUUUACGACGCUCCCGACCUCGCUCUUCGCUCAGACUGGGCCAGGCGAGCUGCGACGCUGGCGAACCGGGCUCCCUGCGUCCUCCCACGACUCCGUCCACCUCAGGGCCUCUAUGAAGAGGAAUCGGUGCCACCCGUGCGGACCUCACAGCCGGAACCGUAAAGAUUCGGAGUCGCUUGCUCGCGGAGACUGACAGCCAGAAAGCGGGCCACGCUGACGCUACUUCCUGUUUUGCUUCCUGGGCGUCAGGGCGGACCUCCAUUUGUCAGGCUGCUCUGCGCCUCCCCUAAGAAGUCCGAGGCAUUGUAGUUUAGUCAUUCGCCAUAGGUCAAGAUCGCCUCCGUUAGGGAAGGCGAGGCCGAAGACCGCCUCAAGGAAACGGCCGUUAGGACACGGCCUGUGGCAGGGAUUCGCGUGGGACGGAGCUCAAGGGUAGAUGAGGCAGGUGAAGGGACCAGCGUGGAGUGGGCGUGCAGGGUACCACGCUGACAAAUGCCUCUCAAAGGCCUUUGCAUGCUGUUGAGACGGACGGCACAGACUGCCCUAGAACCUAACCCCGUACCCGAGAAAAACCUUGAUCAUCUGAUUCUCUUGCCUCCACAUUGCAAGUGUUGGGAUUCUACGCAAGCCAGCCACUACAUCGAAUUGAACAAAUCGAAGUCCCUAAAAUCACAGUUCUGUUGAUAAAUCUGGCAAUUCAUGAAAUGAUCCUCAUACACCCAGUCCAAUGUGUAGAUUACUUCUUACUUGAAUGCCCUAAGAAACUAGUUUGGUUUUCUUUACAUUUUCCUCUGUGUGUGUGUGUGUGUGUGUGUGUGGUGGAUCGGCAAGUGUUGUACCACUGAGUAUGUCCCCAGCCUUUUAUAUUUUCAACUACACACAAUUUUACUAUUUUAUUGUAUAAUUUUGUUUGGGGGUUUUGAGACACGAUCUCACAAUACAGUCUAGGCUGGCCUUAAAUUGCAUAUUUUCCUGAUUACAGGCCUGAGCAAAUUGUAUAGAAUUGUAAAAAUUUGUAGGUGUGAAGACAUGACCUCAGGGUUUUGUGGGUCCUAGACAAAC
RNAcentral lists this long non-coding RNA (3394 nucleotides) under Mus musculus (house mouse). RNAcentral's name for it is "alncRNA-EC41". The record is from RNAcentral. Lineage: Eukaryota; Metazoa; Chordata; Mammalia; Rodentia; Muridae.